UAUGCUAGCUCUAGAAUUUUGCCCUGUAAGUGAAGACAAUCCAAGAUCUCAUUUUUCUUCAAUUAAAGUCAGUGCAAUAACUGGAUUUGAAUCACUUAUAAGAAGCUUUCUAUUGCUUUUAAGAUUUAGACUAAUAUGUUCAGCACCAACUAUGUGACUAUAAGUCUAAGAUUCCUGAUAUGAAUGCAUGUUCAUUCGAGAUUUAGUUGGGUUAAAUCCUGACAGCAA
This 228-nucleotide long non-coding RNA is filed under the name Elaeis guineensis (African oil palm). RNAcentral describes it as "long non-coding RNA (EGUI_LNC065781)". Lineage: Eukaryota; Viridiplantae; Streptophyta; Magnoliopsida; Arecales; Arecaceae. The record is from RNAcentral.